GACGUAGGAUGCGAGCGUUGUCCGGAUUUAUUGGGCGUAAAGAGUUCGUAGGGGGUUUGUUAAGUCUGGUGUUAAAGACUGGGGCCCAACCCCGGGACAGCACUGGAUACUGGCAGACUGGAGUGCAGUAGAGGCAAGCGGAAUUCCAGGUGUAGCGGUGAAAUGCGUAGAUAUCUGGAAGAACACCGGUGGCGUAAGCGGCUUGCUGGGCUGUAACUGACACUGAGGAACGAAAGCCAGGGUAGCGAAUGGG
RNAcentral lists this ribosomal RNA (253 nucleotides) under uncultured bacterium. RNAcentral's name for it is "partial 16S ribosomal RNA". It matches the Rfam family "Bacterial small subunit ribosomal RNA", at positions 524 to 776 of the family's 1533-position model. The record is from RNAcentral.